Molecule: long non-coding RNA, 337 nt
Filed under: Rattus norvegicus (Norway rat)
Lineage: Eukaryota; Metazoa; Chordata; Mammalia; Rodentia; Muridae
Description: long non-coding RNA NONRATT009410
Source: RNAcentral
GUAUCAAGUUUCCAAAACCUCGUCAGUCCUUGAAGGAUCAGCUCUCCAAAAACUGAAAAAUAUACUCCCUAAACAGAACAAAAUAGAAUGUUCUGGGCCUGUAACUCACUCAAGUGUUGACUCUUACUUUCUACACGGGGACCUCUCUCCUUUGUGUCUUAAUUCUAAAAAUGGAACGGUUGAUGGAGCCUCUGAGAACACUGAAGAUGGACUGGACCGGAAAGAUAGUAAGCAGCCCAGGAAAAAACGUGGCCGCUAUCGACAGUAUGAUCAUGAAAUCAUGGAAGAGGCCAUUGCAAUGGUAAUGAGUGGAAAAAUGAGUGUUUCCAAAGCACAA